CCGGUGGUGGUGAUCUUGCCUCAUCGGGGAGCUUCCCGGAAACGAAAGACUUCCGGUUCCGGGGGUAGUAUGGUUGCAAAGCUGGAAACUUAAAGGAAUUGACGGAAUCGCACCACCAGGAGUGGAGCCUGCGGCUUAAAUUUGACUCAACACGGGAAAACUCACCCGGCCCGGACACUGGAAUGAUUGACAGACUGAAAGCUCUUUCUUGAUUCGGUGGUUGGUGGUGCAUGGCCGUUCUUAGUUGGUGGAGCGAUUUGUCUGGUUUAUUCCGAUAACGAGCGAGACGCAAGCCUACUUAAUACACCGUGGAUAAUUUCGUCCACCGGUGUUCUUAGAGGAAUGGGCGGUAUAGAGCCGCACGAAAGUGCGCAAUAACAGGUCUGUGAUGCCCUUAGAUGUUCGGGGCUGCACGCGUGCUACACUGGAGUCUGCAGCGUGUUCCAUGGCCGAAGGGUCAUUGGUAAACCGUUGAAAAGACUCCGUGAUCGGGAUAGGGAAUUGCAAUUAUUUCCCUUCAACGAGGAAUUCCUAGUAAGUGUGAGUCAUCAUCUCGCUCUU
RNAcentral lists this ribosomal RNA (561 nucleotides) under Rhabditidae sp. NK-2011d. RNAcentral's name for it is "SSU rRNA". It matches the Rfam family "Eukaryotic small subunit ribosomal RNA", at positions 1054 to 1643 of the family's 1831-position model. The record is from RNAcentral. Lineage: Eukaryota; Metazoa; Nematoda; Chromadorea; Rhabditida; Rhabditidae.